GAUGAACGCUGGCGGCGUGCCUAAUACAUGCAAGUCGAGCGAACAGAUAAGGAGCUUGCUCCUUUGACGUUAGCGGCGGACGGGUGAGUAACACGUGGGUAACCUACCUAUAAGACUGGAAUAACUCCGGGAAACCGGGGCUAAUGCCGGAUAACAUUUAGAACCGCAUGGUUCUAUAGUGAAAGAUGGUUUUGCUAUCACUUAUAGAUGGACCCGCGCCGUAUUAGCUAGUUGGUAAGGUAACGGCUUACCAAGGCAACGAUGCGUAGCCGACCUGAGAGGGGGAUCGGCCACACGGGAACUGAGACACGGUCCAGACGCCUACGGGAGGCAGCAGUAGGGAAUCUUCCGCAAUGGGCGAAAGCCUGACGGAGCAACGCCGCGUGAGUGAUGAAGGUCUUCGGAUCGUAAAACUCUGUUAUUAGGGAAGAACAAAUGUGUAAGUAACUGUGCACGUCUUGACGGUACCUAAUCAGAAAGCCACGGCUAACUACGUG
This 497-nucleotide ribosomal RNA is filed under the name uncultured bacterium. RNAcentral's name for it is "partial 16S ribosomal RNA". It matches the Rfam family "Bacterial small subunit ribosomal RNA", at positions 28 to 507 of the family's 1533-position model. The record is from RNAcentral.